ACGGUUCAGGGGAUGAAGAAGAAGAACAGAAACGCUUGGAAGUGAAGAGCUACGUCUCGUCUCAACCAUUGGUAAUGGCUUUACAUUUCAGUAGAAUUUUAUGGAAAGCACUAAAAAAUUGCUUUGGAUAUUUGGCUCUGCAUAGCAUUUUCACAGUUGUAGGUUAUUUCGAGAGCUGUUGUUUCAAAAAAAAGUUAAAGCUUGAUUGCUCUGAAUUUGGUGCUCUAGAAAUAAAUAUGGUUGUGGACAGCACCUACAGCAACUACCAAUCACCCCCAUAUCUCAGGAAAUCUAAAAUAUCAGAGAGACUUUAUGUAAACGUGAGACCCACAAACAUAAAUGAGUUGCUGACGUGUCACCUCGGAAAAGACUCAACUGGCUCAUUAUAUUAUAGACUAGGGUCGGUCCGCCCGUCCUACGGGCGGAAUAUACUUUUCUUGUGAUUUAUGUUAUUAGUUUUUGUAUGAUUUUGUGGUUUGUAUUUUAAGUCUGUAUUUGCAAGUGAUGUUUAAUGAUUUAUGUCUUCUAGAAAAUUUUAAGUAAGGAGAGAUUAUAUGUGAUAAGAUAUAUUUUGCUUGUUUACAAUAGUUGUUUCUAAAUUAAAAGUUGUGGCAUUGAUAUGAUGUGUAGGCUUCAAAUAGUUUUCAUGUUGUUUUUUAAAACAAAAACUUAAUCUCAUAUUCGGUGUGUUAUUUGUGGUUUGUAAUAUUUUGGAUUCGGAAGGAUUAGAUUGUGGACAAUUGUUUUUGUGUAUGUUAUAAGAGUAAUUACUUUUCAUAAUGAAAUCAUAGUCUUUCAACAUUUCAAACCGCGCGGGAGUUUGUUCAAAUUUUCAAUUUAAUUGUGUUUGCAUUUUAUUUGAAUAUAUAUAUAUAUGAAUUGAUUAUAAAAAUAAGAUAGUAUAGAAAUUUAAAACCAUUUUUUUACUUUUUUGUAUUAAAUUUGAAAUGUUAGAACUCAUAGUUUGUUGUGGGUUUUAUUAUUUGAAAUUAUAGAUUUAAUGAUAUGAGUUAGAAAUUAACUAAUUGUUCAUUUUGAUCUUCUUCUUUUUUGAUCAUUUAGGUUUUACAUAAACCAUCUUUUUUGUUUAUUUCAAAAUUAUUUUUAUCGGGCCAACUAAGUUUGUAGUUUGCAAUCUUUGUUUAAUAUACAUACAAUUUUUUUCAAAAAAAAGUUCAACCAAUGAUUUAAACAUGUUAUUUUUCAUAUACAAUUUGAUAGCCGUAUAAUGUAUAUAACUAUAUUGUAUUUUUUAUGUUAAGAUUUGAAAGUAGGAUUAUAAUUACUUUGAUGUUUUUACGUAUGUAUGUUAGGGCGUAGAUGGUUUAUUAUUUUUUAGAUCAUGUACGUUAUGUAGGGGUGGUUGUGUAUUGUUUUAAGAGUUCGGACCAUAUAGAAUACUCUAUAGUUUUGGUGAGGUUUCUGUGGGUUUCUUGGUUGAAUGUAAUAGAUUAUGCGUAUACAUAUGGGUUGGUUAAAUUAGGAUUUCUUUAUGUUGGGCUUGGAAGUAUGUGGUAAUGAGUAUGAUUUUUUCGUCCAAAAAUUCAAGGUCUUCGUUUGUUACUUUACGGAUACAAUAAUCAAUAUAAGAUAUUUUGAUUUUUAGUUUCCAUCUAAUAAUUUAAUUUUUGUUCAGCUUAAAAUAUAUUGGCUUUCAUUAUUUAUAUUUUGUUAAUUUUAUCAGAAAUCAUAUGAUUCAUCUUACCAUUUAAAAGAUUGUCAUGAAUAUGUAAUUGUUUUACAUUUAAAAAAGUUGGUUCCACCUGUAUUAUGAUAAUAAGCAAAAUGAAAUUUCUAAAACACAAAAAUUAUGAAUUAGUUUUUGUUAAAACUUAUCGGAGUUUCUCGGUAAUGUAUGUGAACAGUUACCGUCUAAUUUUAUUUUGAUUUUUAAUUAUUUUCUGAGAAACUUCGUUAAUUGUUAUAUUAGAUAUAUAAAAAAAUAAUUCACAAUUGUAUUUCAUAGUUGAUUUAUUCAUUAAACGAUCUUUUCCUUAACUUCUUUUAUUUUCUUCUUCAUUUCCUUCUUACUCUUCUCCUGCAAUCUUUUUUCUUCAAUUUCUCCAAGUCUUUCCUUUAACUUCUUCAAAAUCUCUCUUUAUACUUUGAUCUUUCCUUGAUUUCUUUUAUUUUUUUCCUUCGUUAAUCAUAUAUUAUUUCCUUACAAAUCCAGUAUCUACAUUAACUCAUGAGAUCUCCACCUUUCUUUUCUUUGAUCUGACUUUUUGGGAGAAGAUAACCGAACUUAUGAUGCUUACAUUCACUAUCUUUGCUAUUGAACACCAUUGUUUCUUCCAAAGCCACCGCCUUUGCCAUUUUCCAUCACCGCCGUAGGCUCGUAGCUCCUUCCACCGACAGGCCGUAGGCUUGUAGCUCCUUCCACCUCUUUCUUGUAAUGUAAAAACCCAAGUAUGAAGAAUAAGUAAAAAGCAACGUAAGGGACAGAUGUCGACACCAUAUGAGGCAGCCGGAGACGCAGCGGCGAAGCCGGAGACGCAGCGGCAGAUGAGCCAUCUGCAUAUGGAGUAGAUCUGAUUCAUCGUCCAUCGAAGCCUCUUCUCCUCCUCUGCUUAUGAACACAGCCGUUUCCACGUUCUUCGUUGCAGCCGUAGGGUUCGAUGAGCCCAAGAUGUUAAAGUUUAAUGAAACGCUGCAGUUUUCCUAUUGGACACGUGUCAAAACGCCAUAAAAUGAUUUUCCUAUGUGGCAUCCUAUGUGUCUCUCUAAGGAGAGAGCAAACAUGAUUUUAUAUAAAUAGAUUUGUAUG
This is a long non-coding RNA of Brassica napus (rape), 2767 nucleotides long. RefSeq lists it as uncharacterized. Lineage: Eukaryota; Viridiplantae; Streptophyta; Magnoliopsida; Brassicales; Brassicaceae. The record is from RefSeq and is a predicted model, not a curated record. The transcript is spliced from 2 exons.